AAAUCCCCCUUACGUUCUCACUCCACCCUCUGCCGGCGACAGUGGUUCCAGGGGCUGUGGUAUUGGUGGUCGUCAAAGGCCAACGGCUAGGGUUUGCAAUGAAACACUGUAUUAUCGAAUUACACUCUCUAUUUGCUGAAGAUUUUUGAUCGAUUCUGUCUAUUGUAGCAAGGAUGUUAAUUACUUAUUUUCAUCUUUUUAGAUUUCAACAAGUUCUAUGUCUUGAAACUGAAAUCAGAAUGUUGAAAUUGCUAGAUCUUGAGUCACUGGCGGUGUAAUGGUGAAAAGUGAGCAUCAAUUUAUUUGAUCUGUUCUACAGCCAUGUGAGGGAGCUCGGGAACACUGAAUAGGUUAUAUGAUGGACUUACUUCUUUCUUGUACCUUUAGGGGAUCUUGGUCAAACGUUUGACUCAAACCGAACUUUGACUCAUUACGAGUCAAACCCGAUAAAAGGGCAGACCGUGCUUUUUGUUGGUGACCUUUCAUAUACCGAUAAAUACCCGUUGCAUGAUAACAACAGGUGGGAUACAUGGGGAAGAUUUGUUGACAGAAAUGUGGCUUACCAACCAUAGAUUUGGAGUGCUGGGAAUCAUGAAAUUGAUUUUCUUCCUGAAUAUGGUGAAGGUGAACCAUUUAAGCCUUAUACACACCGGUAUUUCGUGCCAUAUGAAGCAUCCCGGAGUACAUCUCCUAUUUGGUACUCGAUUAAACAAGCUUCUGCUUACAUAAUCGUGUUGUCAUCUUUUUCGGAUUAUGGAAAGUCCACGCCGCAAUAUAAAUAGCUCAUGAAGGAGCUACCGAAAGUGAAUCGAAGCGAAACUCCAUGGUUAAUUGUGGUUAUGCAUUGUCCAUUAUAUAACACCUAUGUGCAUCAUUAUCUGGAAUGUGAAACUAUGAGAGUGAUGUAUGAGCAAUAUUUUGUUCAGUACAAAGUUGAUGUAUUUGCUGGACACGUUCAUGCCUACGAGCGCACAGUGAGUAAUUUUUCAAUAAUCCGGAUUAUUUGACUUUAUGACUGUUUUUACUGUUGCAGGAUCGGGUAUCAAAUAUUGCUUACAAUAUCGAAAACAGGUUGUGCACUCCUAAAAUGGAUGCAUCUGCCCCUGUUCACAUAACCAUUGGUGAUGGAGGAAACCAAGAAGGAUUACUCUUUGAGAUGGUAGAUCCGCAACCGAAAUAUUUAGCGUUUAGGGAACCGAGCUACGGGCAUGCUACAUUUGAGAUUAAGAACAGAACUACAGCUUAUUAUGCUUGGCAUCGUAACCAAGACGGAUAUUCUGUUCAACCGGAUUCCAUAUGGUUUCAUAAUUGAAAUCUGGAAAUCAUCAUCAAUUGCAUCAAUCUGAUUAUUACAAGUGUAAACCCAGUGAUUGAAUAGGUUCACCAGCUCCAUCACCAGAUUCAUCACCUAAUGUAUGAUGUAAACUAUGGGUUUGAAAUAUUAAUAGUGUUUUGUGACAAAUAAGGUAGCUUUUAGAGUUGCGUAUAUUUACAAUGUGUAUCUUUUUUCCGUCACGUAUCGUUGGCUCCGCCGCAACGCGCGGGUUUCCCACUAGUCUUAAAAGAGAAUCAAACCUUUGUAUUUUUUUUAAUAUUAGCAUUCAAUUGGCAAAAUUAGUCAAUAAAUCUCG
Molecule: long non-coding RNA, 1631 nt
Filed under: Helianthus annuus (common sunflower)
Lineage: Eukaryota; Viridiplantae; Streptophyta; Magnoliopsida; Asterales; Asteraceae
Source: RNAcentral